This 478-nucleotide ribosomal RNA is filed under the name uncultured soil bacterium. Its description in RNAcentral is "bacterial SSU rRNA". It matches the Rfam family "Bacterial small subunit ribosomal RNA", at positions 26 to 496 of the family's 1533-position model. The record is from RNAcentral.
AGAUUGAACGCUGGCGGCAGGCCUAACACAUGCAAGUCGAGCGGCAGCACGGGUACUUGUACCUGGUGGCGAGCGGCGGACGGGUGAGUAAUGCCUAGGAAUCUGCCUGGUAGUGGGGGAUAACGCUCGGAAACGGACGCUAAUACCGCAUACGUCCUACGGGAGAAAGCAGGGGGACCUUCGGGCCUUGCGCUAUCAGAUGAGCCUAGGUCGGAUUAGCUAGUUGGUGAGGUAAUGGCUCACCAAGGCGACGAUCCGUAACUGGUCUGAGAGGAUGAUCAGUCACACUGGAACUGAGACACGGUCCAGACUCCUACGGGAGGCAGCAGUGGGAAUAUUGGACAAUGGGCGAAAGCCUGAUCCAGCCAUGCCGCGUGUGUGAAGAAGGUCUUCGGAAUUUGUAAAAGCAACGUUUAAGUUGGAGGAAGGCAGUUACCUAAUACGUAUCUGUUUGACGUUACGACAGAAUAAGCACCGG